UGGUGUAAACAAAGUCUCAACAAAUAGGGAAAAAUGAAAAGACAAAACGCAACAAUCCAACAGCCAAGCCAUAAAACCGCACAUAGAAAACAACAAAACCGAUAAAUGCAAAAGAUAAAACCAACCCAUGCCAAAACAAAACGACUCAAAAACAAAAAUAUCAUCCAACACCUAUCUUCUCUUCUUGUAAAAAACGUGACUGAGAUGAGCAAACUGAAGAAAAUUAAAAAGCUUUGAACCCAUCAAUGGAGAUUCUUUGAACCUUCUCCAUAUUCAAAGCGGUUUUAAAAAUAAGCUUGGCGAUUCUAGAUCCAAGCCAUCCAAUCCUUAUCCGCCAUCGUCCUCAUCGAUUCUAGAGCUCCAUAUACCUAGACGCAAAGGAUUUGUCGUCUCCUUCCUUCCAAAGCCAAGGUGUGAGCCGCUCUAUUAACUGUUCAAGAAACAAAUAGGUAAGAGACUUCUUCAAAGUUAUUUUCAAGGGUACGAAUAUGGUGCGUAAUCAAUCUGAGAAUUGAUUUAUCUUCCCCUUUUAUCUUGAGUUUUUUUAUUACCGAUAGAGAGUCCCCUUCCAAGAGAAGACACCAAAAACCCAUUUUAGACGCAAAAAUCAUAGCCCUUUCGCAUGCCCUUACUUUAGCCACAAAACCGUCGACAACAUCUUCAAAAAGAUAAGUACAUGCCCUUAUAAUUUCAUCUUCAGAAUUUCUAGCUAAUACUGUUGCAUUAGAGGUUCUAGAGUCACUUUGAAAGGACGUGUCAAAAUUUAGCUUAAUAAUACCGAUGUCUGGGGACUCCAUAGCUCAUUCAACAGCAAUCUAGAAAAAACCUAGAGUUUCUCAUGGCUUGAACUUAUCUCUUGACUGUAGCCUCGAAUGAAUUCUAACAGUUCCUGCAAAGAAAACUUAACACCUUCAUGAAUAAGUUUGUUUCUUUGAGACCAUAGGGCCCAUAAAGAAAUAGCAAUAAUAUGUCUGUUGUGUUCAUUUGCUGCAGAGAAAGUGUUAACAAAUCGAGUUUUGCAACUUGAGGUACACCCGACUGGAGCAAACGUGAUUUGAAGAGAAACCCAAACUUACUGUAAUUUUCCACAAGAUCACAUCAAAUGGUCAGAGUCCUCUGAAGCCUCCUUGCAAAGAGGAUAGACAACAUCCACACUUAAAGUCCUUUGAAUAAGAUUACAAAAAUGAGGCACAAGAUUAUCAAACAACCCCCAUAUGAUUUUUAUUUUUUUUUCUAAAAAAAGAAUAAAUUCUUAAUUUCUAAAAAGUACAAGAAUUAUAAGUACAUUAUAACCUAUACUUAAAUCCAUUCGAAUUUAUAUAUAUUUUUAAAUGUUUACC
RNAcentral lists this long non-coding RNA (1340 nucleotides) under Gossypium barbadense (sea-island cotton). RNAcentral's name for it is "long non-coding RNA (GBAR_LNC000515)". The record is from RNAcentral. Lineage: Eukaryota; Viridiplantae; Streptophyta; Magnoliopsida; Malvales; Malvaceae.